GGUUAAGCGACUAAGCGUACACGGUGGAUGCCCUGGCAGUCAGAGGCGAUGAAGGACGUGCUAAUCUGCGAAAAGCGCCGGCGAGGUGAUAUGAACCCUUGACCCGGCGAUGUCCGAAUGGGGAAACCCAGUGUGUUCCGACACACUAUCGUUAACUGAAUACAUAGGUUAACGAGGCGAACCGGGGGAACUGAAACAUCUAAGUACCCCGAGGAAAAGAAAUCAACCGAGAUUCCCCCAGUAGCGGCGAGCGAACGGGGAGCAGCCCGGAGUCUGAAUCAGCUUGUGUGUUAGUGGAACGGUCUGGAAAGUCCGACGGUACAGGGUGAUAGUCCCGUACACGAAAAUGCACAGGUUGUGAACUCGAAGAGUAGGGCGGGACACGUGGUAUCCUGUCUGAAUAUGGGGGGACCAUCCUCCAAGGCUAAAUACUCCUGACUGACCGAUAGUGAACCAGUACCGUGAGGGAAAGGCGAAAAGAACCCCGGCGAGGGGAGUGAAAAAGAACCUGAAACCGUGUACGUACAAGCAGUGGGAGCACCUUCGGGUGUGACUGCGUACCUUUUGUAUAAUGGGUCAGCGACUUAUAUUCUGUAGCAAGGUUAACCGUAUAGGGGAGCCGAAGGGAAACCGAGUCUUAACUGGGCGUUAAGUUGCAGGGUAUAGACCCGAAACCCGGUGAUCUAGCCAUGGGCAGGUUGAAGGUUGGGUAACACUAACUGGAGGACCGAACCGACUAAUGUUGAAAAAUUAGCGGAUGACCUGUGGCUGGGGGUGAAAGGCCAAUCAAACCGGGAGAUAGCUGGUUCUCCCCGAAAGCUAUUUAGGUAGCGCCUCGUGAACUCAUCUUCGGGGGUAGAGCACUGUUUCGGCUAGGGGGCCAUCCCGGCUUACCAACCCGAUGCAAACUACGAAUACCGAAGAAUGUUAUCACGGGAGACACACGGCGGGUGCUAACGUCCGUCGUGAAGAGGGAAACAACCCAGACCGCCAGCUAAGGUCCCAAAGUCAUGGUUAAGUGGGAAACGAUGUGGGAAGGCACAGACAGCCAGGAUGUUGGCUUAGAAGCAGCCAUCAUUUAAAGAAAGCGUAAUAGCUCACUGGUCGAGUCGGCCUGCGCGGAAGAUGUAACGGGGCUAAACCAUGCACCGAAGCUGCGGCAGCGACGCUUAUGCGUUGUUGGGUAGGGGAGCGUUCUGUAAGCCGUUGAAGGUGUGCUGUGAGGCAUGCUGGAGGUAUCAGAAGUGCGAAUGCUGACAUAAGUAACGAUAAAGCGGGUGAAAAGCCCGCUCGCCGGAAGACCAAGGGUUCCUGUCCAACGUUAAUCGGGGCAGGGUGAGUCGACCCCUAAGGCGAGGCCGAAAGGCGUAGUCGAUGGGAAACAGGUUAAUAUUCCUGUACUUGGUGUUACUGCGAAGGGGGGACGGAGAAGGCUAUGUCAGCCGGGCGACGGUUGUCCCGGUUUAAGCAUGUAGGCGGAGGUUCCAGGUAAAUCCGGUACCUUUUAACGCUGAGGUGUGAUGACGAGGCACUACGGUGCUGAAGUGAUAAAUGCCCUGCUUCCAGGAAAAGCCUCUAAGCAUCAGGUAACACGAAAUCGUACCCCAAACCGACACAGGUGGUCAGGUAGAGAAUACCAAGGCGCUUGAGAGAACUCGGGUGAAGGAACUAGGCAAAAUGGUGCCGUAACUUCGGGAGAAGGCACGCUGAUAUGUAGGUGAAGUCCCUGCGGACGGAGCUGAAAUCAGUCGAAGAUACCAGCUGGCUGCAACUGUUUAUUAAAAACACAGCACUGUGCAAACACGAAAGUGGACGUAUACGGUGUGACGCCUGCCCGGUGCCGGAAGGUUAAUUGAUGGGGUUAGCGGCAACGCGAAGCUCUUGAUCGAAGCCCCGGUAAACGGCGGCCGUAACUAUAACGGUCCUAAGGUAGCGAAAUUCCUUGUCGGGUAAGUUCCGACCUGCACGAAUGGCGUAAUGAUGGCCAGGCUGUCUCCACCCGAGACUCAGUGAAAUUGAACUCGCUGUGAAGAUGCAGUGUACCCGCGGCAAGACGGAAAGACCCCGUGAACCUUUACUAUAGCUUGACACUGAACACUGGUCCUUGAUGUGUAGGAUAGGUGGGAGGCUUUGAAGCGUGGACGCCAGUCUGCGUGGAGCCGUCCUUGAAAUACCACCCUUUAAUGGCUGGUGUUCUAACGUAGACCCGUGAUCCGGGUUGCGGACAGUGUCUGGUGGGUAGUUUGACUGGGGCGGUCUCCUCCCAAAGAGUAACGGAGGAGCACGAAGGUUGGCUAAUCCUGGUCGGACAUCAGGAGGUUAGUGCAAUGGCAUAAGCCAGCUUGACUGCGAGCGUGACGGCGCGAGCAGGUGCGAAAGCAGGUCAUAGUGAUCCGGUGGUUCUGAAUGGAAGGGCCAUCGCUCAACGGAUAAAAGGUACUCCGGGGAUAACAGGCUGAUACCGCCCAAGAGUUCAUAUCGACGGCGGUGUUUGGCACCUCGAUGUCGGCUCAUCACAUCCUGGGGCUGAAGUAGGUCCCAAGGGUAUGGCUGUUCGCCAUUUAAAGUGGUACGCGAGCUGGGUUUAGAACGUCGUGAGACAGUUCGGUCCCUAUCUGCCGUGGGCGCUGGAGAAUUGAGGGGGGCUGCUCCUAGUACGAGAGGACCGGAGUGGACGCAUCACUGGUGUUCGGGUUGUCAUGCCAAUGGCACUGCCCGGUAGCUAAAUGCGGAAGAGAUAAGUGCUGAAAGCAUCUAAGCACGAAACUUGCCCCGAGAUGAGUUCUCCCUGAGACCUUGAGUCUCCUGAAGGAACGUUGAAGACGACGACGUUGAUAGGUCGGGUGUGUAAGCGCAGCGAUGCGUUGAGCUAACCGAUACUAAUGAACCGUGAGGCUUAACCUU
RNAcentral lists this ribosomal RNA (2904 nucleotides) under Enterobacter hormaechei subsp. xiangfangensis. RNAcentral describes it as "23S ribosomal RNA". It matches the Rfam family "Bacterial large subunit ribosomal RNA". The record is from RNAcentral. Lineage: Bacteria; Pseudomonadati; Pseudomonadota; Gammaproteobacteria; Enterobacterales; Enterobacteriaceae.